UAAAUAAAUAAAUAAUUAAUAUUUUACGUGUAUUUUUUUCUUUUUUGUACACACUAACAGUCUGGCAUCUUAUGCCUUAUGCGGUGUGUGUGUGUGUGUGUGUGUGUGUGUGUGUGUGUGUGUGUGUGUGUGUGUGUGUGUGUGUGUGUGCGUGUUCCAAGGAAAGGGAGGCGCUUCAAUCGGUGAAAGGGUAGACGAAGAGAGGAAGGGGAAGUUACACUGCGGCUGGGUGAGUCACUUACUUUCUUGCGUUCUUUGUCCGUAACUUUCAGAAUAAUAAUGAUGUAUGUGUACUCUUGCCUUCUUUGUGGUGAGUGUAUCCUUUUUUUUAUAUUCUCUGUAUCUCUGUAUGUAUAAAUGCUGCUGUAAUUAAGUAUUUUAGUGUUUUGGGUUUAUUUUGGAAAGUAAGUAAUGUGCAUUUGAAUUAAUUUAUGCAUUGACAUUAUGACAAUCACAAAAAUGUUUCCUUUAUUUCCACUUAGCUCUGAGUGUUGUGGCGGUGGAGCCUCUCAACUUAAAUGGACAUGUUGGGAAAAAUGUUACAUUCAAAUGCUCCGACUGGAACGUUUGGGCUGGUGUAAAAUCUAAUGUUAAGUACCUUUGUGAUAAUCCAUGCUCAGAAAACAAACACAUCAUCAUUAAAGCAGAAUAUGGAAAGACUGCACAUGAGAAUAGAAUAGAGUUAACUAACAGAGCAGAAGGUUUGUUUGUGACUUUCACUAAUCUCCAAAAGUCAGACUCUAAGAAAUAUUAUUGUGGAGUGGAGAGAUUUGGCCCUGAUCCCUUGAUAGAGGUGAAUCUUAAAGUUAUAGAUGAGUCUCCCAAGAAUACUCCAGCAACAUUUGCUGUUACAAGCAGCUCCACAGUGUCUUCAAGCAGCUCAGAUAGUAUUAGUGCUAUGUCUACAUCAUACAUCAUCCAUUGUACAACAACUACUGCACCAGCAACACAAAGAUCUGGAAGUGUUCCAUUUAUGAUUGUAGGUGUCAUUCUUAUACUAACCUUACUGAUUGCCCUUCUGUACCUUAUGAGGAAGAUGGCCAAAAAACAACUUGCAGACGCAUCACGUGCUGAUACACCACAAGAAGACAUGCGAGAGGAAGUUGAAUAUGACAAAAUCAGACCUGAGGACCAGCAAACUGCAUGCCAACCUGCAGGGGUCUCUACCCUCAGCUUCUCUGCAGACCCAGACAGUCUUUAUGCUAAUUAUUCCUCCCACCAAGGCACUGAAUUAGCAUUUUCCAGAGUCACAUUUCACCAAUGUGACUUGGUGUACUCUGUCAUUCCACUACCCAGUGAUCAAUCUGAACCAAAUCAAUCUGAAAGCAACACAAAUGACUCACUCUAUUCCAUGGCUCAGCUACCACAGGCAACCUGAAUGUGGCUACUGUGAGUGAAAAAAGGAACUUUCUUGAUCAUAUUGAUUAUGAUUUUUUAAAUGUAAAUUUAGAGAUAUAAUUUAAUAUAAAAUAAAAUGAGAGAUCAAAUGACAAGCAUAUUCUUUCAUCUUCAAUAAAGUAUCUUUCCGUUCAAUGAUAGUUUGGUAAGAGUAAUUACUUUUACUAAAUGGAUGGAUUUACUGAUAAUAAGCUUUCAGAAUAAUUUAAAUAAUACUUAGUGAGCAUCAAACUGCAAGUAACCCCCACCUUAAGAAAUAUGUUUGAUGCUUUACAUUCUGUAUUAAUAAUUGUAUUAUUUAGUGAGGAGUAAACAAGAAAGCCUGCCACUGUAUUAAACUUCAUGAUGCCAGAUUUGAAUCCCAAAACUCCUGUGACGUUGUCCAUCACUUGGUAGAAAGAACAUCUGCUUUGUGAUUCUAUUACUUUAUGAAAAUAUUUUAAAUUAACAAGUGGCUGAGACUGAGAGUACACAAAGACAUAUUCUUACUGAAAGGAUGUGUGUGAAGUUCAGUGAACAAACUGAAGUCUGCCUGUGACCCUGCUGGUUAUACAGUCUGCAGUAUAAAGUUGGAAUGAUGUUUUAUAAAAUGAAAUAUCCUAGAAACUGUACAUCACAGUUUUUUUUCUGAAUCUUAUCCUCACUAGUAGGCCUACUUAAUUAUGUAUUUUUAGAUCUUCUUCCUUUUUUGUGUCUUAGGCUUUUAUAAGGGUGAAUGGACGUGAUCCAGUAAUAUUCAUGAUGCUUCUGCCAUGUAUCAAGUAGAUCAGUAAGCUUUUUCUAUUUCAGACCACUUAGAGGAAGACUUGCCUCCCCAAAGCACCAUUACACAGCCCACAACUGUUUCACUUUAACAACUCACACUGGACCACUAAAUGCAAAUCUAUUGUUAUUUGAUUGUGAGGCACUUCAAGCCCAUUGUGUUUCUCUUUUUAAUAUAAAUAAUCCUCAGAUGUAUUUUGACAUAAAUUUAAAGUUAUUUGUUUAUUGUUGUUUUACUUCUACAAGAAUUGACCCUUUUGUAAACGUGUGUCUUUUUGUUUCAUUAUUUAUUCACAUAAUACAGUACAUUUAUUUUAGCAGGCUCACUUUGAGAACUGAAACUUUGCAUUAGUCACCUAUUACCUGAAACUAAAAGUGAUUUGCAUCUCUGUAAAGGGUGCUGUACAAAUAAUGUUAUCAAAUAAUUAAUUCAGAGAAUUGUGAAGUGUGUUCUUUAUAUUUGAGUUGUGCAAUUAAUAAAUCUGAGAGUUGAUGAGUUUUGUACUGUUAUGCUUUGUGGGGUUUUUUAUUGUGCACAGUGUGAGGCCUACAGUCUGUACUAGAAAUAGAUUUAAAUAGAAUUAAAUGUACAUUUCCUGCAUUCAUUUGAUUUUUAUUUAUUU
Molecule: long non-coding RNA, 2783 nt
Organism: Dicentrarchus labrax (European seabass)
Lineage: Eukaryota; Metazoa; Chordata; Actinopteri; Moronidae
Source: Ensembl